UCUUUUCCUUUUGUGCCCGCCGCCGCGGUAAUACGGAAGGUCCGGGCGUUAUCCGGAUUUAUUGGGUUUAAAGGGAGCGUAGGCCGGAGAUUAAGCGUGUUGUGAAAUGUAGAUGCUCAACAUCUGAACUGCAGCGCGAACUGGUUUCCUUGAGUACGCACAAAGUGGGCGGAAUUCGUGGUGUAGCGGUGAAAUGCUUAGAUAUCACGAAGAACUCCGAUUGCGAAGGCAGCUCACUGGAGCGCAACUGACGCUGAAGCUCGAAAGUGCGGGUAUCGAACAGG
RNAcentral lists this ribosomal RNA (284 nucleotides) under Segatella copri DSM 18205. RNAcentral describes it as "Prevotella copri DSM 18205 partial 16S ribosomal RNA". It matches the Rfam family "Bacterial small subunit ribosomal RNA", at positions 493 to 776 of the family's 1533-position model. Lineage: Bacteria; Pseudomonadati; Bacteroidota; Bacteroidia; Bacteroidales; Prevotellaceae. The record is from RNAcentral.